CCUACGGGUGGCAGCAGUGAGGAAUAUUGGUCAAUGGGCGCGAGCCUGAACCAGCCAAGUAGCGUGAAGGAAGACUGCCCUACGGGUUGUAAACUUCUUUUAUCAAGGAGUAAAGUGAGGCACGUGUGCCUCUUUGUAUGUACUUUCUGAAUAAGGAUCGGCUAACUCCGUGCCAGCAGCCGCGGUAAUACGGAGGAUCCGAGCGUUAUCCGGAUUUAUUGGGGUUAAAGGGAGCGUAGAUGGGUUGUUAAGUCAGUUGUGAAAGUUGGGGGCUUAACCCUAAAAUUGAAAUUGAUACUGGAAGUCUUGAGUACAGUUGAGGUAGGCGGAAUUCGUGGUGUAGCGGUGAAAUGCUUAGAUAGCACGAAGAACUCCGAUUGCGAAGGCAGCUUACUAAACUGCCACUGACAUUGAUGCUCGAAAGUGUGGGUAUCAAACAGGAUUAGAUACCCUUGUAGUC
This 460-nucleotide ribosomal RNA is filed under the name uncultured bacterium. RNAcentral's name for it is "partial 16S ribosomal RNA". It matches the Rfam family "Bacterial small subunit ribosomal RNA", at positions 338 to 795 of the family's 1533-position model. The record is from RNAcentral.